RNAcentral lists this ribosomal RNA (489 nucleotides) under Pantoea stewartii. RNAcentral's name for it is "bacterial SSU rRNA". It matches the Rfam family "Bacterial small subunit ribosomal RNA", at positions 74 to 556 of the family's 1533-position model. The record is from RNAcentral. Lineage: Bacteria; Pseudomonadati; Pseudomonadota; Gammaproteobacteria; Enterobacterales; Erwiniaceae.
AGGAGCUUGCUCCUCGGGUGACGAGUGGCGGACGGGUGAGUAAUGUCUGGGAAACUGCCCGAUGGAGGGGGAUAACUACUGGAAACGGUAGCUAAUACCGCAUAACGUCGCAAGACCAAAGUGGGGGACCUUCGGGCCUCACACCAUCGGAUGUGCCCAGAUGGGAUUAGCUUGUAGGCGGGGUAACGGCCCACCUAGGCGACGAUCCCUAGCUGGUCUGAGAGGAUGACCAGCCACACUGGAACUGAGACACGGUCCAGACUCCUACGGGAGGCAGCAGUGGGGAAUAUUGCACAAUGGGCGCAAGCCUGAUGCAGCCAUGCCGCGUGUAUGAAGAAGGCCUUCGGGUUGUAAAGUACUUUCAGCGGGGAGGAAGGUGUUGAGGUUAAUAACCUCAGCAAUUGACGUUACCCGCAGAAGAAGCACCGGCUAACUCCGUGCCAGCAGCCGCGGUAAUACGGAGGGUGCAAGCGUUAAUCGGAAUUACUG